ACUCUUCAAUAAUUUUUGGCGCGACCUAAUAUCUUUUAUUUUAUUGUGAUGUUAUAGUCCUCCUGAUGCUAUAGUCCUCCUGAUGUUAAAGUACUCCCAAUACUAUAGUCCUCCCAAUACUAUAGUCCUCGUGAUGUUAUAGUCCUCCUGAUGCUAUAGUCCUCCUGAUGGUAAAGUCCUCCUGAUGAUAUAGUCCUUCUGAUGGUAUAGUCCUCCUGAUGCUAUAGUCCUCCUGAUAUUAUAGUCCUCCCGAUGCUAUAGUCCUCCCGAUGCUAUAGUCCUCCUGAUAUUAUAGUCCUCUUGAUGGUAUAGUCCUCCUGAUGCUAUAGUCCUCCCGAUGCUAUAAUCCUCCUGAUGCUAUAGUCCUCCUGAUAUUAUAGACCUCCUGAUGGUAUAGUCCUCCUGAUGCUAUAGUCCUCCUGAUAUUAUAGUCCUCCCGAUGCUAUAGUCCUCCUCCUGAUGUUAUAGUCCUCCCGAUGGUAUAGUCCUCAUGAUGCUAUAGUCCUCCUGAUGUUAUAGUCCUUGUGAUGCUAUAGUCCUUGUGAUGUUAUAUUCCUCGUGAUGCUAAAGUCCUCGUGAUGCUAUAGUCCUCCUGAUGGUAUAGUUCUCCUGAUGCUAUAGUCCUCCUGAUGCUAUAGUCCUCCUGAUGGUAUAGUCCUCCUGAUGCUAUAGUCCUCCUGAUGUUAUAGUCCUUGUGAUGCUAUAGUCCUUGUGAUGUUACAUUCCUUGUGAUGCUAUAGUCCUCCUGAUGCUAUAGUCCUCCUGAUGGUAUAGUCCUCCUGAUGCUAUAGUCCUUGUGAUGCUAUAGUCCUUGUGAUGUUAUAUUCCGUGUGAUGCUAUAGUCCUCCUGAUGCUAUAGUCCUCCUGAUGUUAUAGUCCUCCUGAUGUUAUAGUCCUUGUGACGGUAUAGUCCUCCUGAUGCUAUAGUCCUCCUGAUGUUAUAGUCCUCCUGAUGGUAUAGUCCUCCUGAUGUUAUAGUCCUCUUGAUGUUAUAGUCCUUGUGAUGGUAUAGUCCUCCUGAUGCUAUUGUCCUCCUGAUGCUAUAGUCCUCCUGAUGGUAUAGUCCUCCUGAUGUUAUAGUCCUCUUGAUGUUAUAGUCCUUGUGAUGCUAUAGUCCUCCUGAUGGUAUAGUCCUCCUGAUGGUAUAGUCCUCCUGAUACUAUAGUCCUCCUGAUGGUAUAGUCCUCCUGAUAUUAUAGUCCUUGUGAUGUUAUAGUCCUUGUGAUGUUAUAGUCCUCCUGAUGCUAUAGUCCUCCUGAUGUUAUAGUCCUUGUGAUGCUAUAGUCCUUGUGAUGUUAUAUUCCUUGUGAUGCUAUAGUCCUCCUGAUGCUAUAGUCCUCCUGAUGGUAUAGUCCUCCUGAUGCUAUAGUCCUCCUGAUGGUAUAGUCCUCCUGAUGUUAUAGUCCUUGUGAUGCUAUAGUCCUUGUGAUGUUAUAUUCCGUGUGAUGCUAUAGUCCUCCUGAUGUUAUAGUCCUCCUGAUGUUAUAGUCCUUGUGAUGGUAUAGUCCUCCUGAUGCUAUAGUCCUCCUGAUGUUAUAGUCCUCCUGAUGUUAUAGUCCUUGUGAUGGUAUAGUCCUCCUGAUGCUAUAGUCCUGCUGAUAUUAUAGUCCUCCUGAUAUUAUAGUCCUCCUGAUGUUAUAGUCCUCCUGAUGUUAUAGUCCUCUUGAUGUUAUAGUCCUUGUGAUGUUAUAGUCCUCCUGAUGGUAUAGUCCUCCUGAUACUAUAGUCCUCCUGAUACUAUAGUCCUCCUGAUGGUAUAGUCCUCCUGAUAUUAUAGUCCUUGUGAUGUUAUAGUCCUUGUGAUGUUAUAGUCCUCCUGAUGCUAUAGUCCUCUUGAUGCUAUAGUCCUCCUGAUGUUAUAGUCCUCUUGAUGUUAUAGUCCUCUUGAUGCUAUAGUCCUCCUGAUGCUAUAGUCCUCCUGAUGUUAUGGUCCUCCUGAUGCUAUAGUCCUCCUGAUGGUAUAGUCCUCCUGAUGUUAUAGUCCUCCUGAUGGUAUAGUUCUCCUGAUGCUAUAGUUCUCCUGAUGGUAUAGUCCUCCUGAUGUUAUAGUCCUCCUGAUGGUAUAGUUCUCCUGAUGCUAUAGUUCUCCUGAUGGUAUAGUCCUCCUGAUAUUAUAGUCCUUGUGAUGUUAUAGUCCUCCUGAUGUUAUAGUCCUCCUGAUGCUAUAGUCCUCCUGAUGCUAUAGUCCUC
RNAcentral lists this long non-coding RNA (2190 nucleotides) under Pelobates cultripes (western spadefoot toad). The record is from RNAcentral. Lineage: Eukaryota; Metazoa; Chordata; Amphibia; Anura; Pelobatidae.